GAUGAACGCUGGCGGCGUGCCUAAUACAUGCAAGUCGAGCGAACGGACGAGAAGCCUGCUUCUCUGAUGUUAGCGGCGGACGGGUGAGUAACACGUGGAUAACCUACCUAUAAGACUGGGAUAACUUCGGGAAACCGGAGCUAAUACCGGAUAAUAUUUUGAACCGCAUGGUUCAAAAGUGAAAGACGGUCUUGCUGUCACUUAUAGAUGGAUCCGCGCUGCAUUAGCUAGUUGGUAAGGUAACGGCUUACCAAGGCAACGAUGCAUAGCCGACCUGAGAGGGUGAUCGGCCACACUGGAACUGAGACACGGUCCGGACUCCUACGGGAGGCAGCAGUAGGGAAUCUUCCGCAAUGGGCGAAAGCCUGACGGAGCAACGCCGCGUGAGUGAUGAAGGUCUUCGGAUCGUAAAACUCUGUUAUUAGGGAAGAACAUAUGUGUAAGUAACUGUGCACAUCUUGACGGUACCUAAUCAGAAAGCCACGGCUAACUACGUG
RNAcentral lists this ribosomal RNA (497 nucleotides) under uncultured bacterium. Its description in RNAcentral is "partial 16S ribosomal RNA". It matches the Rfam family "Bacterial small subunit ribosomal RNA", at positions 28 to 507 of the family's 1533-position model. The record is from RNAcentral.